UGGGGAAUAUUGGGCAAUGGGCGAAAGCCUGACCCAGCGACGCCGCGUGGGUGAUGAAGGCCUUCGGGUUGUAAAGCCCUUUCGUGCGGAACGAACAGUCUCGCGACUAAUACUCGCGGGAUUUGACGGUACCGCAGGAAGAAGCACCGGCUAACUCCGUGCCAGCAGCCGCGGUAAUACGGGGGGUGCAAGCGUUGUUCGGAAUUACUGGGCGUAAAGGGCGCGCAGGCGGUUGUGCAAGUCAGUUGUGAAAUCCCCCGGCUUAACCGGGGAACUGCAUCUGAAACUGCAUGACUCGAGUACAGAAGAGGGAAACGGAAUCCCCGGUGUAGAGGUGAAAUUCGUAGAUAUCGGGAGGAACACCAGUGGCGAAGGCGGUUUCCUGGUCUGAUACUGACGCUGAGGCGCGAAAGCGUGGGGAGCAAACAG
Molecule: ribosomal RNA, 429 nt
Filed under: uncultured bacterium
Lineage: Bacteria
Description: bacterial SSU rRNA
Rfam family: Bacterial small subunit ribosomal RNA
Source: RNAcentral